Molecule: long non-coding RNA, 3671 nt
Filed under: Calidris pygmaea (Spoon-billed sandpiper)
Lineage: Eukaryota; Metazoa; Chordata; Aves; Charadriiformes; Scolopacidae
Description: lncRNA (ENSCPGG00000015489.1)
Source: RNAcentral
AGCCUUUGUUUCUCUACCUGCCAUUUAUGACUUAGAUCGUGAGCUCCUUGCAAUGGGGAGCGACUUAAUACAUAGUGGUUGAGGGCCUUUUGAAUAUUUUUAAAUGAAAAUGUCAUUUUCUUAGAAACAGUCUCUCAUUAGAUGGGAGUAAGAGCAUGCACAAGGACAAUAACUGAGGUGCUGUGAUGCCAAGCACUCUUACUUUGCAGUGUCUUGUGCGCAGCCCUGUUGCUAAUGAACUACACUGCCUGUAUGAUCCUAAUUUUAACAAACUGCAAAAAGCCCCAAACCUCUGCCUCUGCUGAAUUCUGCGGACACAGAAAGGAUUGAGCAUCUUAAAACAUCAAGGGCAGUACAUGCUCAGUAUUCCAGUUGGUUUGAUGGUCGGUUUUGGACAGACUGGGGAGAGUGAAGCAGCUGCCUGGUCUGUGCUGGUUAGUGAAAGCCCGGGGAGGCACAUGCUGUUCCCUUUUGCAGAGCUCAUCUUUCUUUGCUCUUCGCACUGUGCUGUUUGGAAUGUGGCUUUUCAGUCCUUCUGUUACGACUGAACGACUUUGCUUGCCAGGGAGAAGUGGAAGAGAUUGAACUGCAAAACAAAAAUCUGUGUAAAGAAAAUGAGGAGCUGAAAGCAAGCUGUGCAAGUCUGGAGAAACAAAAGAUGGAUCUGCAGAAAGAGCUCAACAAGAUGCAGGAGCUGGAGAAUAGUUUAGAGUCUCUAAAGAGCAACACAGAGAAACUGGAGCUGGAGCUGAAUUCCCUGAAAAAGGAAAAUAAACAUCUAAAGGAGCUGGAUGACUGCAGAGAGGAAGAACUGCACCAACUCAACUUGCAAAUUCAGAAUGUGACCUCUGACAAGGAACGCCUGGAAACCAGACUGAAAUCAGCCCUGGAUCACAUGGACCAGCUGCAGUCUCAAGUGUUGAAUUAUGAGAAAGAAGUGGAAAGCCUGUCUGUCGUGGACCGUGACAAGACCGAGGAGCUUGAAAGUUUGAAGGAAGAGAAUCGCCAGUUACGCGCGAUUGGAAUUCAACAGCAACAAAACCAGGACUUAAUGAAAGAACUUGAGGAGCAGAAGCGUUUGUUUCAGAUUCUGCAGGCAAAAAAGAAUGAAGCUGAUGAGGAAAAUCAGGUGAGAACUUGGCACAACUCCCUGCAUUGCAUACGACGCUCGCUGAUCUCCCAAUCUAGUGUUCAGUUCCAUUAACCCUUACACCAAAUGGAUCACUAAUUGUGCCUGCUCGAGGACCAUCACCGAAGCCAGGCUGUCUGCAGGCACAUACAAACGACCGUGUGCGUACACUCGCAGUGUGUUGUUGCUGCCAUGACUGUACAGCCUCUGAGGAAGGGCCCAAAAACUGCCACCUUUUUCCCCCGCCACAGAAUAGACUGGUUUAUCCAUAAUAGCGUGGGGAUUUUCAAAACCUCCGAAUGAUAGCUUCAUUCUGACACCACUGAAAUGAAUGGACUUACUUGUUUGAAUGGACAUAGCCUUUUUGUCCAGUCUAAACAAUGACUGCUCAGUUUUGUUCCCUACUCUGCAUGACUUCAGGAUAGUCUUCUGUCUUUUAAUAUGUAUUAUUCUAUUGUGAUCAUCUUGUCUGCCUUCCUGAGCAGGCCACAGAAUAGAUCCAUGCCCUUCCUUACCUCACUUCCCCAUUCUAUCAAGCAGGACUAAUGCUGAGCUACCUAAAAGAAGUUCAGAGCAAUUUUAAUUCUGAUAUACAAGGAUCUAUCUUAAUGCAAAGCAUUACUUUUCUCUGAAAAGCGUCUCUUUUCAAGACAAAGAAAGUACUUUUCUCUCCUGAGCGUCUGGAAAUUCAUUCUGCCCUUCUGUCCCUUUGCAGAAACUGAGGGAACAGAAUGAACUGCUGAGGCAUCUCUUGCAGGCUGGAGAGGUUUCUUCCUCCUCUGCUGUUUCACAAGCUCAAGCUCCAGGUCCAGGUCCAGAAGCAGGCGGCCUUCUGUUUGGAAAUCCAUAUUGUGGUGAGAUUACUUGGCAUUCUCUCUGUAAGCGCAAAUACACGGCAGUUAAGAGUCUCAGCAAAUUCUCCUCCCUCUCGAAUUAAAUGCUGUAGAACAGACAUUAUUAGCAGCACCUCUGUGCAGCUUUGCUUGUGUGCAGAUGACUUGGCAGCUGGAAAAUGCUGCCAGGUGUUAAGAGCUGACUUAAGUGAUCAGCUGUCUGCUCAUUUUCUGCCAAGACAGACAACUAUUAGCUAGUUUAUUCAGCUGCGGGACAGCUAGUUCUGUGGCUUAUGUCCAGUUUCCAUAGUCCUAAAUAUAGAGGUUUAGAUCCAGAGCCACAUCCUCAUGUUUCAAGAAUUACUAGUUAUCAGCACAUUACAUUGUUAAUCAUUUUGUUGUGGCUAAAUUGACUUCUUUUUUUCCAGCAGCAGGAGCAAACCUGGGGGCAGGAGCUGCAGACUUAGUAAGUAAAGUGGACACGACUGGACAUGAAUUUGUCAUUUAUGGACACGAAUUAGUGGUUUGUAACUAAUUGUAACUAAUUAAUGUAACUAAGUUUUGUAACUAAUUGUCUGGUUUAGUCCUGGUAAGAUAGUGGACAACAAAAUGGAGCCACAUAUGUUUAACAUACAGAAUUAACAAGACUUAUAUGUGUUAAGGAAGAGAAAGGAAACUCUGUUGACCUUAAUCUUUAAGGAGCAGCUCUUGGCAGCAUCUAAUGUCAGAAUGAGCAGCAUGCAGCUGCUAAAUACCUUAUUUCAUAGUCGAGAUAUGAACAUGUGCUAUGUAGGAUGGAAAGUUAGAGUACCUCUCCGAAGCUUUUGACUUUUAAGUGCUAUUUAGAAAAGCCUGGAGACAUUUGAAAACUUGAGAGUGUUAGAAGUCAGGAAGACUUGUCCAAAAGUGGUAAUACCUGGCUACUAAACUCUUCUGUUUCUUCUCUUUGAACAUAAUUUUUAAACUGACUUCAUUUACAUUUGCUUUGUACUUCAGGCUUCUAUAAGGAAAUGCCCCAUGUGCAAUGAAGUAUUUCCCGAAGAUAUCGAAACCCAUCAGUACGAGGCCCACGUGCAGAGCCAUCUCCUGGAGUGCCCAAUCUGCCGUGAGACCUUUGUUAAUUCCAAUAAGCAGGUGUAUGAUGACCAUGUUUUUUGUCACAACCUGGAGUAAUUCUGACUUUGUAUCUUCUCUGUAGAGUAAGAGGCUGCCAAAAUCACUGUAUAGGCUUGACUCAUGCUAAUAAGAUCACCCAGACAUGACUGACUGAGCUUUCUGUUCCAUGCAGUACGUGACCAAUGCAUAAAUCAGGGUUAGGCACCCACAUCCUGAAACUGAAUCACCGUAACAAAACUUAAGUCCUGUGUCUUGGAUCAAGUAUAUGUGCUUGUUAAACGAGUUACAAAUCCUCUUAUUAGUAAUAUAGUUGAAUGUGGUACCCAUUCUUUAGAACAGGAUUGACCAUGUAACCGUUCAUCCAGGUAGGGAUCCAAGUGAUGGGAUGUAGUACAGCAGUUUUCUGCACUUGGCUGAAACACCUCUACUAUAAAGGUUUUAUUCUUUAAUAUAGCACUGUGUUUACUAACCAAAGACCAGAAACAUUGUAUAAUCUUUUAGGAUCACACCUUCAGUCCUGCUCAGCUUCUGGAAUGCAGAAGUAAUUAUUAAUAAGUGAAAAAGUCUAAAUAAAAAUACAUCUUUCACUAUCA